CACCGCGGUUAAACGAGAGGCCCGAGUUGACAAGCAUCGGCGUAAAGUGUGGCUAGGGAGAAACCAAAUAAACUAAAGCCAAAUGCCCCUCUUGCUGUUAUACGCGCCCGGGGACCAGAAGCCCGACUACGAAAGUGGCUUUAUUACACCUGAACCCACGAAAGCUAUGGCA
This 172-nucleotide ribosomal RNA is filed under the name Decodon melasma (blackspot wrasse). Its description in RNAcentral is "partial small subunit ribosomal RNA". Lineage: Eukaryota; Metazoa; Chordata; Actinopteri; Labriformes; Labridae. The record is from RNAcentral.